Molecule: ribosomal RNA, 450 nt
Filed under: uncultured bacterium
Lineage: Bacteria
Description: bacterial SSU rRNA
Rfam family: Bacterial small subunit ribosomal RNA
Source: RNAcentral
AAUCAACGCUGGCGGCGUGCCUAACACAUGCAAGUCGAACGAGAAAGGGGACUUCGGUCCCUGAGUACAGUGGCGCACGGGUGAGUAACACGUGACUUAUCUACCCUCGAGUGGGGAAUAACUUCGGGAAACCGAGGCUAAUACCGCAUAAUACCCACGGGUCAAAGGAGCAAUUCGCUUGAGGAGGAGGUCGCGGCCGAUUAGUUAGUUGGCGGGGUAAUGGCCCCACCAAGGCGACGAUCAGUAGCCGACCUGAGAGGGUGAUCGGCCACAUUGGGACUGAGACACGGCCCAAACUCCUACGGGAGGCAGCAGUGGGGAAUAUUGGACAAUGGGCGCAAGCCUGAUCCAGCAAUGCCGCGUGGGUGAAGAAGGUCUUCGGAUUGUAAAGCCCUUUUGGCGGGGACGAUGAUGACGGUACCCGCAGAAUAAGCUCCGGCUAACUUCGUG